AGAAGUCCCCUGGAGAAGCGCUUCCCUCUCUCCUUUCCAGGACCACAAUUCCCAGAACCUUCAGCUUCCCGGCGGUUCCCUUUUUUACUCGAUCUCUCCUCGGGCUGGUGGGGUUCAGCCGGCCGGCAGGCACGGAGCGGACGUCGUGAUUCGUCGGGACUGGGCGCAGGGUUUCCUUAGCGGCCUGUUUUGCUCCCCACUCGGUGAUUCCCUUUACAGGCCGUCGCGGCUGGCCUGAGCGGUGACCUGGCGGGCCGCGCCUGCGCUCUGCCCCGUUUCCUGCCUGGCUGGUGGCGGUGGCCAUUUUGUUCAUCCUCCUCCUCCUCCUGCUCCUCCUGGUUGGAGCGCAGUGUCCGGAGCGGGCUGGGGGGAGAGAGCCCGAGAGCAGGGUUCGGUGGCUUUUCCUCUGUCCCCAGCCGGUGCCCGGAGCCCCCCUCCCCUUCCUCCCCACCCCCUCCCCUCCCCAGCCCUGCCCUCCCCCUUGUCCCGGGAUCGCUCCGUCGCACCCACCAUGAUGGAAGACGACGGGCAGCCCCGGACUCUAUACGUAGGUAACCUCUCCAGAGAUGUGACAGAAGUCCUUAUUCUUCAGUUAUUCAGUCAGAUUGGACCCUGUAAAAGCUGUAAAAUGAUAACAGAGCAACCCGAUAGCAGAAGGGUCAACUCUUCUGUUGGAUUUUCUGUUUUGCAGCAUACAAGCAAUGACCCAUAUUGCUUUGUGGAAUUUUAUGAACACAGAGAUGCAGCUGCUGCAUUAGCUGCUAUGAAUGGGAGAAAAAUUUUGGGAAAGGAGGUCAAAGUAAACUGGGCAACAACACCAAGUAGCCAGAAAAAAGAUACUUCCAAUCACUUCCAUGUGUUUGUUGGGGAUUUGAGUCCAGAAAUUACAACAGAAGAUAUCAAAUCAGCAUUUGCCCCCUUUGGUAAAAUAUCGGAUGCCCGAGUAGUUAAAGACAUGGCAACUGGAAAAUCCAAAGGCUAUGGUUUUGUAUCUUUUUAUAACAAACUGGAUGCAGAAAAUGCAAUUGUGCAUAUGGGAGGUCAAUGGUUGGGUGGUCGUCAGAUCAGAACCAACUGGGCCACACGUAAACCACCUGCACCUAAAAGUACACAAGAAAAUAACACUAAGCAGUUGAGAUUUGAAGAUGUAGUAAACCAGUCAAGUCCAAAAAAUUGUACUGUGUACUGUGGAGGAAUUGCCUCUGGGUUAACAGAUCAGCUUAUGAGACAGACUUUCUCACCAUUUGGACAAAUUAUGGAAAUAAGAGUUUUUCCAGAGAAAGGCUAUUCAUUUGUCAGAUUUUCAACCCAUGAAAGUGCAGCCCAUGCCAUUGUUUCAGUGAAUGGCACCACGAUUGAAGGACAUGUUGUUAAAUGCUAUUGGGGUAAAGAAUCUCCUGAUAUGACUAAAAACUUCCAACAGGUGUCACCACCCCAAUAAACUUAGACAAUGAUAAAUAACAGAGUCCUAUUCACAUAAGGGUCGACUAUAGUCAGUGGGGCCAGUGGAGUCAGGUUUAUGGAAACCCACAACAGUAUGGACAGUAUAUGGCAAAUGGGUGGCAAGUACCGCCUUACGGAGUAUACGGGCAACCAUGGAACCAACAAGGAUUUGGAGUAGAUCAAUCACCUUCUGCUGCUUGGAUGGGUGGAUUUGGUGCUCAGCCUCCCCAAGGACAAGCUCCUCCCCCUGUAAUACCUCCUCCUAACCAAGCUGGAUAUGGUAUGGCAAGUUACCAAACACAGUGAGCUGGGACUCUAAACAAAAUUGUAAUUCACGAUAGCUUCAGUUUCCUGUGACACUCUGAAGACAUGAAAGUAGACAUCGGAAAAUGAAAAUAUUUAUUUUAAAAAUUGAAAUGUUUGGAACCUUUAGCACAGCUUUGCUUUGGUGAAGGACACAUGUCUUCUAGUUCUGCCUUUUUAAGUUUUUGUUCAUGAUGGAUAUGAACAUGAUUUUUCUUUGUGUACAAAAACUAAAAUAAAGUCAAUAAAGACAAUUCUGACUACAAAUUUUGAUAUAAUAGGAGAAAUGGGUAAUACAUUUUGAUUCUUAAAUACUAUUCCAUUUUUAUCUUGCUGUUCAGUAUUUUAACUCACUGUGUUUUUAAAAGAGCAAAAAAAAGGGAGGAUCGUGAAAAACUGGGAAUCACAUAUAAGUUCAUCCUGAACCUUGAUACUCCCCUCCCCUCCCCUGAGGUGGACCACAUUCGAAGUCAGCAGAAAAAAAGUGUGAUAUUGAGAAGAAAUUGCAUGUUUUUGGAGUCGCUUUGGAGGAAAUACUUUCUUUAUACCUAAAGAAACUGAAGCCAGACUGAUAAAGAAAUUUUACAAACUAAAUAAGGAACAGCAUUAUUUGAGUUACUUGAGUGAAUGUUGGUGGUCCACAUUAAGACAUAUUUUUAAAACUUUAAAAAGUGUUGAUUAUUAAAACUGUAGUAAAUUACAUUUCAUUUUGGGGGGGAAAUUCCAAGUAUGGUGUUUGUAUUUAAGUCAGACAGUCAUACUUGUGCUUUUACAUGAAGUUUAAAUGAUAUACAUUGUAAAUAUUGAAUAACUACAGUGUUUAAAAAGCAUGCUUCAACAUAGAAGUAGCAGCAAUGUAAUUAUUUGAAGUAACACUUAACACACUCCACUGCAUUGAAUGCAAUGGAUUGAUAAGAAUGUUUAAGACUGACACUUCCAAGGUUGGCUACUAUGUAAAAUUAAAAUUAUACAAAUUACUAUACAGAAAAAGCCUUAAUUUUAAUUUCAUACAAAUCUUUGAUGCAUAAGUACAUUUUAAAAUGUCAUUGGAAAUUAGAUUUUUUUUUCUUUACAUCACUUGGUAUGUAAAUACCUUGAUUAAAACCUUGUAAACCUAUUCCAAGGUUCCUAUAAGUUGUAUAGUACAAGUGUUUUUAAAAAAUCUUGGGGUGUUUUUUAAAAUUAGAUAUAUUUUGCCCGAGAAUUUUUUUAACAAGAUUGCUAAAACAUCUUAUUUAGACAGUUUGAUGUACCAAUUUAUAAUUGGGUAUUCAGCUUAAGUAGUACACAGAGUUGUGACUUUUAUUUUUAUUUAACUUUUUUUUCCUUGUGGGUAGUGUGCAUGGGAUAAUAAGCCUGAUCAGAGGCUGAGUUGUAUGUGUGCAGAGUUUGUAAAUGAACCAAUUGGGUAGAUGUAGAAUACUGAAGUUUGCUUCUGAGAUAUUUUUUCAGGCUGUGUGGAUAAAACCUGCCUCAAAUUUCUAUCAUAACAAGAAUGUAAAAGAUAAAAUCCUAUGUAUUCGAAUUCUGACAGCUAGAGGGUGCAAAUGUUUAGGCAGUGUAUUUGAAAUGUUGCUUUGAGGCCUGGGCACCAAAAUGAGAAAACCUUUACCAGUUAAGUAGUAAGGUGCAAUUAAUACCCGCAAAUUACUAUUUUUUGAACAUUUAAAGUCUUACAAUUAGCUUUAAAAUAAUGAUGAUUUUAUAAAUUGGUGACUACAAUAAUUCUGGUAUUAUUUUUCUUCUUCCCUCAUUUACAAGAACAGUCAAAUGUAUUAAACAUGAAUAUUUGUGGGGUCUGAAGUUCAUCUUUGGGCCAGAUUUGUUAUGGCACUUUAGUUUUAACCACAGGAGUCAUCUGUGACCCUCUUCUGUGUAAAAUUUACCCUUAUUUCUUUGUUAAUGGCUAGUGUCCUUGGGGGAUGUUAUGGAAAAGUUACUUUAUAUUUUAUAAGGAGAACACUCAAAUUAUAUCAAUUAUGCCUCCUAGUUUAAAAUUUCUUGAAUAUAUGUGAAACUUGAACAACUAAAGACUUUUUUUUAUAUAUUGAUAUUCUCAGUUUGCCUUUUUUGGUCUGCCAGUAAAUUAAGUAGCUUAUUGCAAUAGCAGUUAAACGUAGCUGCAGUGUUUCCUGGUUGUAUAUUCUAUGAUUUAAUAAAAUUAUCCAGACUAGUUAUAUCGCCAUAGUAAACGUAUUACUGAAGUGUCCUUCGUCUCAAUCUGAAAGAGAGAAAGGUUUCAUGAUCAGUUAGUGGAAGUUAUUUCAUAUUAAAUGGUUUUUAAAAUACAAAGCUACUUAUCCAAAUGAAAUGCACCAUUUUAAAAUACAACUGUCAAGCUAACACAGACUCAAGUCUAUUUUAUAAUAAAGUGAAGUCAGUGCUAUCUUGAUCAACUUAAGCCUAAGAAUCGUUGUCUUUUCCAUGUUCAUUAAAAACAACAGCAGAGAUUCUUUGGCACGUGACAAAAUGUUUCUUAUUUCUUAAUUAUUUUGAGAUUUAUUUUGGUGAUGUGUUUCUGACUGCCAUCUUUGCUCUAAUAAUCUCUCUACUAGUAUUUCCCCCAUAUCAUUCCCACUUGAUUUUUAUGUCUGCUGGCAGUGAGAGGCUAAAAUGACUGGCCAACGUAAGCCAAAGCUGUAAACCACAGUUGAAGUAAGUCUUUCAAUAAAGACUAGACUAUAUGAUAA
Molecule: RNA transcript, 4436 nt
Organism: Canis lupus familiaris (dog)
Lineage: Eukaryota; Metazoa; Chordata; Mammalia; Carnivora; Canidae
Gene: TIAL1
Gene name: TIA1 cytotoxic granule associated RNA binding protein like 1
Exons: 13
Source: RefSeq, a predicted model, not a curated record